This is a long non-coding RNA of Saccostrea cuccullata (small rock oyster), 588 nucleotides long. RefSeq lists it as uncharacterized. The record is from RefSeq and is a predicted model, not a curated record. The transcript is spliced from 3 exons. Lineage: Eukaryota; Metazoa; Mollusca; Bivalvia; Ostreida; Ostreidae.
AGAUUUGCUGGGUUCUUCCUGUAUGUUUCAAAUACAACAUCCAGAGAAGACGGUCAUCUUUGUUUUCAUGAGAUACAGACCGUAAGCGGUUCUCCAAUCGAGGAUCAGAGGAUUAACUGUUCUGUCUAUGGACGUUAUGUCAUCUACUAUAACGAGCGUAAUAAUCCGGAUGUUACCUACCCUGAUUACUACUCUACAUAUGCGUUCAAUGAAUUAUGUGAACUUGAAGUAUACGGGUGCCCAGUUCAUGGUUAUUUUGGAGAAAAAUGUAACCGAUUAUGUCCAGAGAAAUGUCAGGGACAGCAGUGUGAUGCAGUAACCGGUUUUUGUGUGAAAGGCUGUUUACCAGGAUAUCACGGUGUACACUGUAGUUAUGCAAAUUUAGCAUUAGCUAAACCUGCAUGGCAGCAAUACCCCUUUUCAGCUACCAAAUGGGGAGCAGAUAAAGCAGUUGAUGGACUAUAUUCAGAUCGAACAGCAGGGGGAAACCAAUGUACCAUAUCAACAUAUAAUAAAGUCACAGCAGAGUGGAGGGUAGAUCUACAGCGAGUAGUUAGCAUCAGUCACAUCAACAUCUUCUAUAGGACG